CACGUAGGGGGCAAGCGUUAUCCGGAUUUACUGGGUGUAAAGGGAGCGUAGACGGCGAUGCAAGCCAGAUGUGAAAGCCCGGGGCUCAACCCCGGGACUGCAUUUGGAACUGUGUGGCUGGAGUGUCGGAGAGGCAAGUGGAAUUCCUAGUGUAGCGGUGAAAUGCGUAGAUAUUAGGAGGAACACCAGUGGCGAAGGCGGCUUGCUGGACGAUGACUGACGUUGAGGCUCGAAAGCGUGGGGAGCAAACAGG
Molecule: ribosomal RNA, 253 nt
Filed under: uncultured bacterium
Lineage: Bacteria
Description: partial 16S ribosomal RNA
Rfam family: Bacterial small subunit ribosomal RNA
Source: RNAcentral